CCUACGGGCGGCUGCAGUGGGGAAUAUUGGACAAUGGGGGCAACCCUGAUCCAGCCAUGCCGCGUGUGUGAAGAAGGCCCUCGGGUUGUAAAGCACUUUCAGUGAGGAAGAACGCCUGGUGGUUAAUACCCAUCAGGAAAGACAUCACUCACAGAAGAAGCACUGGCUAACUCCGUGCCAGCAGCCGCGGUAAUACGGAGGGUGCGAGCGUUAAUCGGAAUUACUGGGCGUAAAGCGCGCGUAGGUGGCUUGAUAAGCCGGUUGUGAAAGCCCCGGGCUCAACCUGGGAACGGCAUCCGGAACUGUCAAGCUAGAGUGCAGGAGAGGAAGGUAGAAUUCCCGGUGUAGCGGUGAAAUGCGUAGAGAUCGGGAGGAAUACCAGUGGCGAAGGCGGCCUUCUGGACUGACACUGACACUGAGGUGCGAAAGCGUGGGUAGCAAACAGGAUUAGAUACCCCGGUAGUC
Molecule: ribosomal RNA, 465 nt
Filed under: Vreelandella stevensii
Lineage: Bacteria; Pseudomonadati; Pseudomonadota; Gammaproteobacteria; Oceanospirillales; Halomonadaceae
Description: partial 16S ribosomal RNA
Rfam family: Bacterial small subunit ribosomal RNA
Source: RNAcentral